This 440-nucleotide ribosomal RNA is filed under the name uncultured bacterium. RNAcentral describes it as "partial 16S ribosomal RNA". It matches the Rfam family "Bacterial small subunit ribosomal RNA", at positions 338 to 795 of the family's 1533-position model. The record is from RNAcentral.
CCUACGGGAGGCAGCAGUGGGGAAUAUUGCACAAUGGGGGAAACCCUGAUGCAGCGACGCCGCGUGAGUGAAGAAGUAAUUCGUUAUGUAAAGCUCUAUCAGCAGGGAAGAAAAUGACGGUACCUGAGUAAGAAGCCCCGGCUAACUACGUGCCAGCAGCCGCGGUAAUACGUAGGGGGCAAGCGUUAUCCGGAUUUACUGGGUGGAAAGGGAGCGGAGACGGCAGUGCAAGUCUGGAGUGAAAGGCGGGGGCUCAACCCCCGGACUGCUCUGGAAACUGUACGGCUGGAGUGCAGGAGAGGUAAGUGGAAUUCCUAGUGUAGCGGUGAAAUGCGUAGAUAUUAGGAGGAACACCAGUGGCGAAGGCGGCUUACUGGACUGUAACUGACGUUGAGGCUCGAAAGCGUGGGGAGCAAACAGGAUUAGAUACCCUAGUAGUC